This 459-nucleotide ribosomal RNA is filed under the name uncultured bacterium. Its description in RNAcentral is "partial 16S ribosomal RNA". It matches the Rfam family "Bacterial small subunit ribosomal RNA", at positions 28 to 523 of the family's 1533-position model. The record is from RNAcentral.
GAUGAAUGCUGGCGGCGUGCCUAACACAUGCAAGUCGAGCGGUAAGGCCCUUCGGGGUACACGAGCGGCGGACGGCUGAGUAACGCGUGGGGACAUACCCCAGAGUGAGGGAUAACGCACCGAAAGGUGCGCUAAUACCGCAUAAUCUCUUUGGAGCAAAGCAGUAAUGCGCUUUGGGAAUGGCCUGCGUACGAUUAGAUAGUUGGUGAGGUAAUGGCUUACCAAGUCGACGAUCGUUAGCUGGUCUGAGAGGAUGACCAGUCAGACUGGAACUGAGACACGGUCCAGACUCCUACGGGAGGCAGCAGUGAGGAAUCUUCCACAAUGGGGGCAACCCUGAUGGAGCAACGCCGCGUGCAGGAUGAAGGCCUUCGGGUCGUAAACUGCUUUUAUAAGUGAAGAAUAUGACGGUAACUUAUGAAUAAGCACCGGCUAACUACGUGCCAGCCGCCGCCGUAA